GAACGGCAGCGCGGGAGCAAUCCUGGCGGCGAGUGGCGAACGGGUGAGUAAUAUAUCGGAACGUGCCCAUUAGUGGGGGAUAGCCCGGCGAAAGCCGGAUUAAUACCGCAUACGACCUGAGGGUGAAAGCGGGGGAUCGCAAGACCUCGCGCUAUUGGAGCGGCCGAUAUCAGAUUAGCUAGUUGGUGGGGUAAAAGCCUACCAAGGCAACGAUCUGUAGUUGGUCUGAGAGGACGACCAGCCACACUGGGACUGAGACACGGCCCAGACUCCUACGGGAGGCAGCAGUGGGGAAUUUUGGACAAUGGGCGCAAGCCUGAUCCAGCAAUGCCGCGUGCAGGAAGAAGGCCUUCGGGUUGUAAACUGCUUUUGUCAGGGAAGAAAUCCUUUGGGUUAAUACCUCGAAGGGAUGACGGUGCCUGAAGAAUAAGCACCGGCUAACUACGUG
RNAcentral lists this ribosomal RNA (448 nucleotides) under uncultured bacterium. Its description in RNAcentral is "bacterial SSU rRNA". It matches the Rfam family "Bacterial small subunit ribosomal RNA", at positions 64 to 507 of the family's 1533-position model. The record is from RNAcentral.